AUGAACGCUGGCGGCGUGCCUAAUACAUGCUAGUCGAGCGAACGGACGAGAAGCUUGCUUCUCUGAUGUUAGCGGCGGACGGGUGAGUAACACGUGGAUAACCUACCUAUAAGACUGGGAUAACUUCGGGAAACCGUAGCUAAUACCGGAUAAUAUUUUGAACCGCAUGGUUCAAAAGUGAAAGACGGUCUUGCUGUCACUUAUAGAUGGAUCCGCGCUGCAUUAGCUAGUUGGUAAGGUAACGGCUUACCAAGGCAACGAUGCAUAGCCGACCUGAGAGGGUGAUCGGCCACACUGGAACUGAGACACGGUCCAGACUCCUACGGGAGGCAGCAGUAGGGAAUCUUCCGCAAUGGGCGAAAGCCUGACGGAGCAACGCCGCGUGAGUGAUGAAGGUCUUCGGAUCGUAAAACUCUGUUAUUAGGGAAGAACAUAUGUGUAAGUAACUGUGCACAUCUUGACGGUACCUAAUCAGAAAGCCACGGCUAACUACGUG
RNAcentral lists this ribosomal RNA (496 nucleotides) under uncultured bacterium. RNAcentral's name for it is "partial 16S ribosomal RNA". It matches the Rfam family "Bacterial small subunit ribosomal RNA", at positions 29 to 507 of the family's 1533-position model. The record is from RNAcentral.